CGCGAAAACUUUACCCUUUGGGAAACCGUGAUAAGGGGACACCGAGUGCCAGCAUCAUAUGCUGGCUGUCCGGGUGUGUAAAAUACACCCGUUAGCAAGGGCCGGGCAAGACCGGUGCCAGCCGCCGCGGUAACACCGGCGGCCCGAGUGGUGAUCGUGAUUAUUGGGUCUAAAGGGUCCGUAGCCGGUUUGGUCAGUCCUCCGGGAAAUCUGACGGCUCAACCGUUAGGCUUUCGGGGGAUACUGCCAGGCUUGGAACCGGGAGAGGUAAGAGGUACUACAGGGGUAGGAGUGAAAUCUUGUAAUCCCUGUGAGACCACCUGUGGCGAAGGCGUCUUACCAGAACGGGUUCGACGGUGAGGGACGAAAGCUGGGGGCACGAACCGGAUUAGAUACCCGGGUAGUCCCAGCCGUAAACGAUGCUCGCUAGGUGUCAGGCAUGGCGCGACCGUGUCUGGUGCCGCAGGGAAGCCGUGAAGCGAGCCACCUGGGAAGUACGGCCGCAAGGCUGAAACUUAAAGGAAUUGGCGGGGGAGCAC
RNAcentral lists this ribosomal RNA (539 nucleotides) under uncultured archaeon. RNAcentral describes it as "bacterial SSU rRNA". It matches the Rfam family "Archaeal small subunit ribosomal RNA", at positions 340 to 879 of the family's 1478-position model. The record is from RNAcentral.